Molecule: ribosomal RNA, 388 nt
Filed under: uncultured bacterium
Lineage: Bacteria
Description: bacterial SSU rRNA
Rfam family: Bacterial small subunit ribosomal RNA
Source: RNAcentral
GACGAACGCUGGCGGCGUGCUUAACACAUGCAAGUCGAGCGGUAAGGCCCUUUCGGGGGUACACGAGCGGCGAACGGGUGAGUAACACGUGGGUGACCUGCCCUUAGCUCUGGGAUAAGCCUGGGAAACUGGGUCUAAUACCGGAUAUGACUCCAUGACGCAUGUUGUGGGGUGGAAAGCCUUGUGCGGCUAGGGAUGGGCCCGCGGCCUAUCAGCUUGUUGGUGGGGUGANGGCCUACCAAGGCGACGACGGGUAGCCGGCCUGAGAGGGCGGCCGGCCACACUGGGACUGAGACACGGCCCAGACUCCUACGGGAGGCAGCAGUGGGGAAUCUUGCGCAAUGGGCGAAAGCCUGACGCAGCGACGCCGCGUGAGGGAUGACGGCCU